Molecule: ribosomal RNA, 460 nt
Filed under: uncultured bacterium
Lineage: Bacteria
Description: partial 16S ribosomal RNA
Rfam family: Bacterial small subunit ribosomal RNA
Source: RNAcentral
CCUACGUGAGGCAGCAGUGAGGAAUAUUGGUCAAUGGACGCGAGCCUGAACCAGCCAAGUAGCGUGAAGGAUGACUGCCCUACGGGUUGUAAACUUCUUUUAUAAAGGAAUAAAAUGUUCCACGUGUGCCUUUUUGUAUGUACUUUAUGAAUAAGGAUCGGCUAACUCCGUGCCAGCAGCCGCGGUAAUACGGAGGAUCCGCGCGUUAUCCGGAUUUAUUGGGUUUAAAGGGAGCGUAGAUGGGUUGUUAAGUCAGUUGUGAAAGUUUGCGGCUCAACCGUAAAAUUGCAAUUGAUACUGGCAGUCUUGAGUACAGUAGAGGUAGGCGGAAUGCGUGGUGUAGCGGUGAAAUGCUUAGAUAUCACGAAGAACUCCGAUUGCGAAGGCAGCUCACUAAACUGCAACUGACAUUGAGGCUCGAAAGUGUGGGUAUCAAACAGGAUUAGAUACCCGAGUAGUC